This 28-nucleotide small RNA is filed under the name Bombyx mori (domestic silkworm). RNAcentral describes it as "ovarian small RNA-17688". Lineage: Eukaryota; Metazoa; Arthropoda; Insecta; Lepidoptera; Bombycidae. The record is from RNAcentral.
GUCAACAGACUCAUUUCUUGCCGCUUUC